Molecule: ribosomal RNA, 429 nt
Filed under: Bacteroidota bacterium
Lineage: Bacteria; Pseudomonadati; Bacteroidota
Description: Bacteroidetes bacterium partial 16S ribosomal RNA
Rfam family: Bacterial small subunit ribosomal RNA
Source: RNAcentral
UAGGGAAUCUUCCGCAAUGGACGCAAGUCUGACGGAGCAACGCCGCGUGAGUGAAGAAGGAUUUCGGUUCGUAAAACUCUGUUGUUAGAGAAGAACAGCGCAUAGAGUAACUGUUAUGCGUGUGACGGUAUCUAACCAGAAAGCCACGGCUAACUACGUGCCAGCAGCCGCGGUAAUACGUAGGUGGCAAGCGUUGUCCGGAUUUAUUGGGCGUAAAGCGAGCGCAGGCGGUCAAUUAAGUCUGAUGUGAAAGCCCCCGGCUCAACCGGGGGGGGUCCUUGGAAACUGGUUGACUUGAGUGCAGAAGAGGAGAGUGGAAUUCCAUGUGUAGCGGUGAAAUGCGUAGAUAUAUGGAGGAACACCAGUGGCGAAGGCGACUCUCUGGUCUGUAACUGACGCUGAGGCUCGAAAGCGUGGGUAGCAAACAGG